GGGGCGUGGUCACAAAGGGGCGUGGUCACAAAUGGGCGGGGUCACAAAGAGAGGUCAUGGAAGGGGUUGGGUCAACAGGCAAUGAGCACUGAGGGUUGGCCAAGGAGUUGGGUGUGGCCAAAGGGGCGUGGCCAAGUUGGGUGUGGUCAUGGAUGGGCGUGGCCAGUUAAGGUGUGGUCACAGUGGGUGUGGUCUUUGGGGCGUGGCCCAGAAGGGGAGUGGCCCAAAUGGAUCCAAUGGGUCACGACUGCGUAGGCCAAGUUGGGCGUGGUCAAGUUGGGUGUGGCCACUCCACAAGCACAAAGUGGGCGUGGCCUGUAAGGGUGUGACCAAUGGGCGUCACCAAAGGCGUGGCCACACCCAACAUGACCCACUGACCAUUGGCUAACCCUUGACCAACACAGGGGGCGUGGCCAUUGAGAAUUGGCCAAGUUGGGCGUGGCCAAGAAGGGGUGUGGCCAAUGAACAGUCAUGAGGUGGGCGUGGCCUGUAAGGGGGUGACCAAUGGGCGUGGCUAAAGGUGUGGCCACACCCAACAUGACCCAUUGACCGUUGGCCAACACGCCCCGACCCAACCCUUGGCCAACACAGGGGCGUGGCCAAGAAGGGGUGUGGCCAAUGAACAGCCACGAAGUGGGUGUGGCCAAGGGCCUCACAACCACCAGGCCCCGUCCACCAUGACCCAUUGACCAUUGGCCACCGCCCAACCCUUGACCAACACAGGGGGCGUGGCCAUUGGGCGUUGGCCAAGUUGGGCAUGGCCAAGAAGGGGUGUGGCUAAUAAACAGUCAUGAGGUGGGCGUGGCCUGUAAGGGGGUGACCAAUGAACAGCCAUGAGGUGGGCGUGGCCAAGCACCUCACAACCACCAGCCCCCACCCACCAUAACCCAUUGACCAUUGGCCACCACCCAACCCUUGACCAACACAGGGGCGUGGCCAUUGAGCGUUGGCCAUGUUGGGCGUGGCCAAGAAGGGGUGUGNUGUGUCUGUCCAUGUCCCCACGUCCAUGUCCGUGUGUCUGUCCAUGUCCUCACGUCCAUGUCCGUGUGUCUGUCCCCAUGUCCCUGUGUCUGUCCAUGUCCAUGUCCGUGUGUCUGUCCAUGUCCCCAGCCAUGUCCCCGUGUCCGUGUGUCUGUCCAUGUCCCCAUGUCCCCAUCCCUGUGUCCCCAUCCCUGUCCCUGUGUCCAAGUCCAUGUCCGUGUGUCUGUCCCCAUCCCUGUCCCGGUGUCCAUGUCCCCAUGUCCCCGUGUCCCCAUCAGUGUCCCCAUUGGUGUCACACUCACGCAGCCCGGUGGACUCCAUGCGCGACGCCGUGUUCACCGUGUCCCCGAACAGGCAGUACCGCGGCAUCUUCAGCCCCACCACGCCCGCACACACCGGGCCUGGGGACACCUGGGUGUCACCGCUGGGGUGCCACUCCCGUCCCCAUUCCCAUUCCUGUCCCCAUUCCCAUUCCCAUUCCCAUUCCCGUUCCCAAUCCCAUCCCCAUUUCCCAUUCCCAUCCCUGUUCCUGUUCCCACCAGUGUGGAUGCCGAUGCGCAGCUCCAUUUCCCAUUUCCAUUCCCAAUCCCAUUUCCCAUUCCCAUUUCUCCGUUCCCAUCCCCAUCCCCAUUCCCACCAGUGUGGAUACCAAUGCCCAUUCCCCAUCCCCAUUUCCCAGUUCCCAUUCCCAUUCCCAUUUCCCAUUUCCCCAUCCCUGUUCCCAUUCCCAUCCCCAUGACCGUUCUCACCGGUGUGGAUACCAAUGCCCAUUCCCCAUUCCCAUUUCCCAGUUCCCAUUCCAUUUCCCAUCCCUGUCCCCAUCCCCAUUCCCAUUCCUAUUUCCCAAUCCCAUCCCCAUUCCCACCACUGUGGAUUCCCAUCUCCAUUCCCAUUCCCCCAUCCCCGUUCCCAUUCCUGUCCCCAUUUCCCUGUUCCCAUUUCCACCAAUGUGGAUGCCAAUGCCCAUUCCUGUUCCCCAUUCCCAUUUCCCGUACCCAUUCCCAUUCCCAUUCUCAUUCCCGUUCCCAAUUCCGUUCAUCCCCACCGGUGUGGAUGCCAAUGCCCAUUCCCAUUUCUCAUUCCCACCAGUGUGGAUUCCCAUCUCCAUUCCCAUUUCCAAUCCCAUUCCCAUCCCCAUUUCCCCGUUCCCAAUCCCAUUUCCAAUCCCAUUCCCAUCCCCAUUUCCCCAUUCCCAUUUCCCCAUUCCCAUUUCCCCAUUCCCAAUCCCAUUUCCAUCCCCAUUUCCCCGUUCCCAAUCCCAUUUCCAAUCCCAUCCCCAUUUCCCCAUUCCCAAUCCCAUUCCCAUCCCCAUUUCCCCAUUCCCAAUCCCAUUUCUCCCAUUCCCAUUCCCAUUUUUCCCGUUCCCAUUCCCGUUCAUCCCCACCGGUGUNCCACCCAUGGACUCAUUUCAGGGGUCACCUCCCGCCUCAAAAUCCUCUCUGGAUGUCAUCCCUCAUCUGGGGACUCUUUUUGGGGGUCACCUCCCACCCAUGGACCAUUUUAGGGUGUCACCUCACAUCUGGGGGAUCUUUUUCAGGGGUCACCUCCCAGCUGGGGACUCUUUUUGGGAGUCAUCUCCCACCCAUGGACCAUUUUCAGGGGUCAUCUCCCACCCAUGGACCCUUUUCGGGGGUCACCUCCCGCCUCAAAAUCCUCUCUGGAUGUCAUCCCUCAUCUGGGGACCCUUUUUGAGGGUCACCUCCCACCCAUGGACCCUUUUCAGGGGUCACCUCCCACCCCUGGCUCCUUUCUAGGGGUCAUCUCCCACCCAUGGCCUCAUUUCGGGGGUCACCUCCCGCCUCAAAAUUCUCUCUGGAGGUCAUCCCUCAUCUGGGGACUCUUUUUGGGGGUCACCUCUCACCCAUGGACCAUUUUAGGGUGUCACCUCACAUCUGGGGACCUUUUUCAGGGGUCACCUCCCAGCUGGGGACUCUUUUUGGAGGUCAUCUCCCACCCACAGACUCUUUUUGAAGGUUACCUCCCAUCUAGGGACUUUUUGGGGGUCAUCUUCCAUCUCAGGACCCUUUUUGGGAGUCAUCUCCCAUCCAUGGACUCUUUUCAGGGGUCACCUCCCAUCCAUGGACUCUUUUCAGGGGUCACCUCCCACCUCAAAAUCCUCUCUGGAUGUCAUCCCUCAUCCAGGGACCCUUUUUGAGGGUCACCUCCCACCCAGGGACCUUCUCUGGAUGUCACCCCUCAUCUGGGGACCCUUUCCGAUGGUCAUCACCCACCCAGGAACCCUUUUUGGGGGUCACCUCCCACCCAGGGACCCUCUCUGGAUGUCACCCCUCAUCUGGGGACCCUUUCCGAUGGUCACCACCCACCCAGGAACCCUUUUUGAGGGUCACCCCUCACCCAGGGACCCUCUCUGGAGGCCACCCCUCAACUGGGGACUCUUCCUUGGGGUCACCACCUACUCAGGAACCCUCUCUGGAUGCCACCCCUCAUCUGAGGACCCUUUCUGAUGGUCACCACCCACCCAGGGGCCCUCUCCGGGGGUCCCUGGUGGCACCUGUUGAANUGUCCCCAAUGUCCCCACGGUGUCCCCAGGUGUCCCCAGUGUCCCCAUGGUGUCCCCAAUGUCCCCAAUGUCCCCAUGGUGUCCCCAAGUGUCCCCAAGUGUCCCCACAGUGUCCCCAAGUGUCCCCAUGGUGUUCCCACCCGCUCACCCUCCCCGUUGGACUCCAUGCGUGACGCCGUGUUCACGGUGUCCCUGUGGUGUCCCCAAUGUCCCCAAGGUGUCCCCACAGUGUC
RNAcentral lists this long non-coding RNA (3735 nucleotides) under Zonotrichia albicollis (white-throated sparrow). RNAcentral's name for it is "lncRNA (ENSZALG00000005387.1)". The record is from RNAcentral. Lineage: Eukaryota; Metazoa; Chordata; Aves; Passeriformes; Passerellidae.